RNAcentral lists this long non-coding RNA (819 nucleotides) under Mus caroli (Ryukyu mouse). RNAcentral's name for it is "predicted gene 16315 (MGP_CAROLIEiJ_G0002530.1)". Lineage: Eukaryota; Metazoa; Chordata; Mammalia; Rodentia; Muridae. The record is from RNAcentral.
GCAGCACCCAGGCAAGUGGUGACGAUACCCCUCAAGCUUCAGGCCAAUGUCUGCUGCUGCACGGCUGGGUGACCUCGGCCAACACAGGCCCCUGCCCUAAUCCAUCCUGCCCCGGCACAGCUGUGUUCUCCAUAGCUCCUUCUGGCAGACUCCUGUAAGGUUUGCCCACUGCUGAGCGAGACCCUCACACAUCCCCCACACGGCCACACUGCUCAACUGUGAUGGGCCCGGUGGCUGAUGGCUCCCAUGCUGCAUGUACAGGGAAGGAGACACCCUCUAAAUAGAGAGCUGGCACACGAUCCCACUUCUGGCCACCCAAGAGAGGCAUCACACAUCCCAUCGGAAUCUGUGUAGGUGCACACACGAGUGUGGUGUGGGGCUUCCGCAUUGGAGAUGCCUGUUACGCAGCAGCAGCAGCAGCAGCAGCAGCGGACUGAGACGUGGUGGCUGUGCGAAGACCUCAAAAAGGAAGCGAAUGUUCUGCUGCUCUCAUACUCCACAGUGCAUCCUUGUCCCAGGGACCCACACACUGGAGCAACACGCAGCCAAGAACAGGAGGGAGGCCUGACACAGGGGACCCAAACAAGAAAGCCAUACAGUAUCCAUGACAGGUCAUACCCAGGGUGGGAGAACACAGAAGGGAACGCAUGUGUUUGUUGGCGGAUGCCUUAAGCAGAGAAGACCUUCUCUGAGGGAUGUGAUGUUCUGGAACUGUGUAGAUUACCUGGCUGCAUAAUCUGAAGAUCACACAGGUGUGUAUAUCUUAAACAAGUGAUCCCUACAGUCUACCAAUUAUAGCUCAAGAUCCCAAAAUCAAAA